This 460-nucleotide ribosomal RNA is filed under the name uncultured bacterium. RNAcentral describes it as "partial 16S ribosomal RNA". It matches the Rfam family "Bacterial small subunit ribosomal RNA", at positions 338 to 795 of the family's 1533-position model. The record is from RNAcentral.
CCUACGGGUGGCAGCAGUGAGGCAUAUUGGUCAAUGGACGCGAGUCUGAACCAGCCAAGUAGCGUGAAGGAUGACUGCCCUAUGGUUUGUAAACUUCUUUUAUAAAGGAAUAAAACGAGACGCGUGUGCCUUUUUGCAUGUACUUUAUGAAUAAGGAUCGGCUAACGCCGUUCCAGCAGCCGCGGUAAUUCGGAGGAUCCGAUCGUUAUCCGGAUUUUUUGGGUUUAACGGGAGCGUAGAUGGGUUGUUAAGUCAGUUGUGAAAGUUUUCGGAUCAACCGUAAAAUUGCAAUUGAUACUGGCAGUCUUGAGUACAGUUGAGGUAGGCGGAAUUCGUGGUGUAGCGGUGAAAUGCUUAGAUAUCACGAAGAACCCCGAUUGCGAAGGCAGCUUACUAAACUGUGACUGACAUUGAUGCUCGAAAGUGUGGGUAUCAAACAGGAUUAGAUACCCCAGUAGUC